This 311-nucleotide ribosomal RNA is filed under the name uncultured bacterium. Its description in RNAcentral is "bacterial SSU rRNA". It matches the Rfam family "Bacterial small subunit ribosomal RNA", at positions 30 to 347 of the family's 1533-position model. The record is from RNAcentral.
CCUGAACGCUGUCGGCGUGAUUAAGACAUGCAAGUCGAACGGGUGUAGCAAUACACCAGUGGCGCACGGGUGAGUAAGGCAUCGCUAAUCUGCCCUGGAGCCUGGGAUAGCCAGUCGAAAGACUGGGUAAUACCAGAUGAGACCACGAACCGGCAUCGGUUUGUGCUCAAAGGUCCGCCGCUCUGGGAUGAGGCGAUGUGGUAUCAGCUAGUUGGUGAGGUAACGGCUCACCAAGGCUUCGACGCCUAGCCGGACUGAGAGGUCGGCCGGCCACAUCGGGACUGAGACACUGCCCGGACUCCGUACGGGGG